Molecule: ribosomal RNA, 506 nt
Filed under: uncultured bacterium
Lineage: Bacteria
Description: partial 16S ribosomal RNA
Rfam family: Bacterial small subunit ribosomal RNA
Source: RNAcentral
GAUGAACGCUAGCUACAGGCUUAACACAUGCAAGUCGAGGGGUAACGAGAGGAAAGCUUGCUUUCCUUGUCGACGACCGGCGCACGGGUGAGUAACGCGUAUCCAACCUGCCCCCAACUAGGGAAUAACCUUGCGAAAGUAAGACUAAUACCCUAUAAUUUCCUCAGAUGUCAUCUGACGAGGAAUAAAGAUUUAUCGGUUGUGGAUGGGGAUGCGUCUGAUUAGCUUGUUGGCGGGGUAACGGCCCACCAAGGCAACGAUCAGUAGGGGUUCGUGUAGGAAGGUCCCCCACAGUGGGACAGAGACACGGGCCAAACUCCUACGGCAGCCAGCAUUGAGGAAUACUGGUCAAUGGGCGGAAGCCUGAACCAGCCAAGUAGCGUGCAGGAUGACGGCCCUAUUGGUUGUAAACUGCUUUUAUACAGGAAUAAAGUUAGCCACGUGUGGUUAUUUGUAGGUACUGUAUGAAUAAGGACCGGCUAAUUCCGUGCCAGCCGCCGCGGUAA